RNAcentral lists this ribosomal RNA (797 nucleotides) under bacterium enrichment culture. RNAcentral describes it as "bacterial SSU rRNA". It matches the Rfam family "Bacterial small subunit ribosomal RNA", at positions 8 to 799 of the family's 1533-position model. The record is from RNAcentral.
AGAGUUUGAUCCUGGCUCAGGAUGAACGCUAGCGGCAGGCCUAACACAUGCAAGUCGAGGGGCAGCGCGAUGUAGCAAUACAUUGGCGGCGACCGGCGCACGGGUGCGUAACACGUAUGGAACCUGCCCUGUACUGGGAGACAACCCGGAGAAAUCCGGACUAAUAUCCCAUAACAACCGAGGUGGCAUCACCUUGGCUUGAAAGCUCCGGCGGUACAGGAUGGCCAUGCGCCCGAUUAGCUAGUUGGUGAGGUAACGGCUCACCAAGGCUACGAUCGGUAGGGGGCCUGAGAGGGUUAUCCCCCACACUGGUACUGAGACACGGACCAGACUCCUACGGGAGGCAGCAGUGAGGAAUAUUGCGCAAUGGAGGCAACUCUGACGCAGCCAUGCCGCGUGCAGGAAGAAGGCGCUACGCGUUGUAAACUGCUUUUAAUCGGGAAGAAACCCCGGGACGUGUCCCGGGUUGACGGUACCGAUGGAAUAAGCACCGGCUAACUUCGUGCCAGCAGCCGCGGUAAUACGAAGGGUGCAAGCGUUAUCCGGAUUCAUUGGGUUUAAAGGGUGCGUAGGCGGGACAGCAAGUCAGCGGUGAAAUCCCGUGGCUCAACCACGGAAUUGCCGUUGAUACUGCUGUUCUUGAGUACGUUUGACGUGGGCGGAAUGUGCCGUGUAGCGGUGAAAUGCUUAGAUAUGGCACAGAACACCGAUAGUGAAGACAGCUCACGAAGACGAAACUGACGCUGAGGCACGAAAGCGUGGGGAUCAAACAGGAUUAGAUACCCUGGUAGUCCACG